Long non-coding RNA from Brassica oleracea var. oleracea, 201 nucleotides. RefSeq lists it as uncharacterized. The record is from RefSeq and is a predicted model, not a curated record. NCBI's taxonomy places the organism in Eukaryota, Viridiplantae, Streptophyta, Magnoliopsida, Brassicales, Brassicaceae. The transcript is spliced from 3 exons.
CAAAAUUCAGAGAUGGCAAUCGUUGGCUUCAGCUAAACUAGCUGCUGAUAUGCAGAGGUCUUCUAGACCUGAACGGCGAAUCAAUGGCCCCACAGUCACACAUCUUUGGUCAAUGCUGAAGUUGCUUGAUAUCUUGGUUCAGCUUGAUCAUCUUAAAAAUGCUAAAGCUAGCAUUCCUAAUUAUUUCUCUUGGUAUAAAAG